RNAcentral lists this ribosomal RNA (514 nucleotides) under uncultured bacterium. RNAcentral's name for it is "partial 16S ribosomal RNA". It matches the Rfam family "Bacterial small subunit ribosomal RNA", at positions 29 to 523 of the family's 1533-position model. The record is from RNAcentral.
AGCGAACGCUGGCGGCGUGCUUAACACAUGCAAGUCGAACGUGAAAUGUAGCAAUACAGAGUAAAGUGGCGUACGGGUGAGUAACACGUGGGUAAUCUACCAAAGAGCCUGGAAUAACCGACCGAAAGGUUGGCUAAUACUGGAUAGUCCAAAUGAAAUAUAAUGUUUCGAUUGGGAAAGGGAGCGAGCAAUCGCCUUCACUUUUUGAUGAGCCCGCGUCUGAUUAGCUAGUUGGUAGGGUAAUGGCCUACCAAGGCGACGAUCAGUAGCUGGUCUGAGAGGAUGAUCAGCCACACUGGAACUGAAACACGGUCCAGACUCCUACGGGAGGCAGCAGUGGGGAAUCUUGCGCAAUGGACGAAAGUCUGACGCAGCCACGCCGCGUGAGUGAAGAAGGCCUUCGGGUUGUAAAGCUCUGUCGGAAGGGACAAAAACGUUUAAGGUUAAUAGCCUUAGAUCUUGAUGGUACCUUCAAAGGAAGCACCGGCUAACUUCGUGCCAGCAGCCGCUGUAA